AUGCACGCUGGCGGCGUGCCUAAUCCAUGCAAGUCGCGCGAACGGACGAGAAGCUUGCUUCUCUGAUGUUAGCGGCGGACGGGGGAGUAACACGUGGAUAACCUACCUAUAAGACUGGGAUAACUUCGGGAAACCGGAGCUAAUACCGGAUGAUAUUUUGAACCGCAUGGUUCAAAAGUGAAAGACGGUCUUGCUGUCACUUAUAGAUGGAUCCGCGCUGCAUUAGCUAGUUGGUAAGGUAACGGCUUACCAAGGCAACGAUGCAUAGCCGACCUGAGAGGGUGAUCGGCCACACUGGAACUGAGACACGGUCCAGACUCCUACGGGAGGCAGCAGUAGGGAAUCUUCCGCAAUGGGCGAAAGCCUGACGGAGCAACGCCGCGUGAGUGAUGAAGGUCUUCGGAUCGUAAAACUCUGUUAUUAGGGAAGAACAUAUGUGUAAGUAACUGUGCACAUCUUGACGGUACCUAAUCAGAAAGCCACGGCUAACUACGUG
This 496-nucleotide ribosomal RNA is filed under the name uncultured bacterium. RNAcentral describes it as "partial 16S ribosomal RNA". It matches the Rfam family "Bacterial small subunit ribosomal RNA", at positions 29 to 507 of the family's 1533-position model. The record is from RNAcentral.